GACGAACGCUGGCGGCGUGCUUAACACAUGCAAGUCGAACGGAAAGGCCCUGCUUUUGUGGGGUGCUCGAGUGGCGAACGGGUGAGUAACACGUGAGUAACCUGCCCUUGACUUUGGGAUAACUUCAGGAAACUGGGGCUAAUACCGGAUAGGAGCUCCUGCUGCAUGGUGGGGGUUGGAAAGUUUCGGCGGUUGGGGAUGGACUCGCGGCUUAUCAGCUUGUUGGUGGGGUAGUGGCUUACCAAGGCUUUGACGGGUAGCCGGCCUGAGAGGGUGACCGGCCACAUUGGGACUGAGAUACGGCCCAGACUCCUACGGGAGGCAGCAGUGGGGAAUAUUGCACAAUGGGCGGAAGCCUGAUGCAGCAACGCCGCGUGCGGGAUGACGGCCUUCGGGUUGUAAACCGCUUUCGCCUGUGACGAAGCGUGAGUGACGGUAAUGGGUAAAGAAGCACCGGCUAACUACGUGCCAGCAGCCGCGGUGAUACGUAGGGUGCGAGCGUUGUCCGGAUUUAUUGGGCGUAAAGGGCUCGUAGGUGGUUGAUCGCGUCGGAAGUGUAAUCUUGGGGCUUAACCCUGAGCGUGCUUUCGAUACGGGUUGACUUGAGGAAGGUAGGGGAGAAUGGAAUUCCUGGUGGAGCGGUGGAAUGCGCAGAUAUCAGGAGGAACACCAGUGGCGAAGGCGGUUCUCUGGGCCUUUCCUGACGCUGAGGAGCGAAAGCGUGGGGAGCGAACAGGCUUAGAUACCCUGGUAGUCCACGCUGUAAACGGUGGGUACUAGGUGUGGGGUCCAUUCCACGGGUUCCGUGCCGUAGCUAACGCUUUAAGUACCCCGCCUGGGGAGUACGGCCGCAAGGCUAAAACUCAAAGGAAUUGACGGGGCCCCGCACAAGCGGCGGAGCAUGCGGAUUAAUUCGAUGCAACGCGUAGAACCUUACCCGGGUUUGACAUGGAUCGGGAGUGCUCAGAGAUGGGUGUGCCUCUUUUGGGGUCGGUUCACAGGUGGUGCAUGGCUGUCGUCAGCUCGUGUCGUGAGAUGUUGGGUUAAGUCCCGCAACGAGCGCAACCCUUGUUCACUGUUGCCAGCACGUUAUGGUGGGGACUCAGUGGAGACCGCCGGGGUCAAUUCGGAGGAAGGUGGGGAUGACGUCAAGUCAUCAUGCCCCUUAUGUCCAGGGCUUCACGCAUGCUACAAUGGCUGGUACAGAGAGUGGCGAGCCUGUGAGGGUGAGCGAAUCUCGGAAAGCCGGUCUCAGUUCGGAUUGGGGUCUGCAACUCGACCUCAUGAAGUCGGAGUCGCUAGUAAUCGCAGAUCAGCAACGCUGCGGUGAAUACGUUCCCGGG
This 1343-nucleotide ribosomal RNA is filed under the name uncultured bacterium. RNAcentral's name for it is "16S ribosomal RNA". It matches the Rfam family "Bacterial small subunit ribosomal RNA", at positions 28 to 1378 of the family's 1533-position model. The record is from RNAcentral.